Molecule: long non-coding RNA, 524 nt
Filed under: Trifolium pratense (red clover)
Lineage: Eukaryota; Viridiplantae; Streptophyta; Magnoliopsida; Fabales; Fabaceae
Description: long non-coding RNA (TPRA_LNC011196)
Source: RNAcentral
AAACCUACACUGGAAGACAGUUCCUCUACUAACCAACCCUUUAAAUGCAUACAUUAAAAAAAAAUGCUAAGCCAUAGUUGAAUAGUGUAGAUGUAUCAAUCUAUGCAGCACCGACAUCUCAUAUUGAAGAUAGUCGAGUAUUUGACAUGUGUCGGCGGUGUGUCCAAUAUCUAUCAAAUGUUGGUAUGGAACAUUGAUAUGAUCACACCCGACAUAUAUAGUUAUAUUCAACAACGUCUAUAUUUUAAAUUAUUACCGGUGCUUAUGUGUUUAUGUCAGUAUUGUGUUCGUGUGCGUGUCAAUAUUUGGCACAACUAAGAUGGUUUAGUCCAUGUAAUAUGUGUUGAUUUAUAUUGUUUUAUUUUUUUUCUUCCUUUUUUUCAAAAGGAAUUGUUUCCAUAAUAUAUGUUAAAUCUCAAGGGUACUUAGUUUUGAAAUAGAACCUUUACAAUAUUGUUUAAGACUUUAAGUAUAUUCUUCUUGUACUUGAAACAAUAAUUGAAUGAGAAGUGUCUAUGCUUCAU